RNAcentral lists this ribosomal RNA (460 nucleotides) under uncultured bacterium. RNAcentral's name for it is "partial 16S ribosomal RNA". It matches the Rfam family "Bacterial small subunit ribosomal RNA", at positions 338 to 795 of the family's 1533-position model. The record is from RNAcentral.
CCUACGGGAUGCAGCAGUGAGGAAUAUUGGUCAAUGGGCUUACGCCUGAACCAGCCAAGUCGCGUGAGGGAAGACUGCCCUAUGGGUUGUAAACCUCUUUUGUCAGGGAGCAAUUGGCGCUACGUGUAGCGUUAUCGAGAGUACCUGAAGAAAAAGCAUCGGCUAACUCCGUGCCAGCAGCCGCGGUAAUACGUAGGGGGCAAGCGUUAUCCGGAUUUACUGGGUGUAAAGGGAGCGUAGGCGGGACUGCAAGUUGGGUGUCAAAUCUACCGGCUCAACCGGUAGCCGCACUCAAAACUGCAGUUCUUGAGUGAAGUAGAGGCAGGCGGAAUUCCUAGUGUAGCGGUGAAAUGCGUAGAUAUUAGGAGGAACACCAGUGGCGAAGGCGGCCUGCUGGGCUUUUACUGACGCUGAGGCUCGAAAGUGUGGGGAGCAAACAGGAUUAGAUACCCGAGUAGUC